This 471-nucleotide ribosomal RNA is filed under the name Dinocryptus sp. BF000956. Its description in RNAcentral is "eukaryotic LSU rRNA". Lineage: Eukaryota; Metazoa; Arthropoda; Insecta; Hymenoptera; Ichneumonidae. The record is from RNAcentral.
CUGAGAAACCCAAAAGAUCGAAUGGGGAGAUUCAUCGCCAGCGAUUUUGGCAGGUGUGCGGUUCGCGAUGCCGGAGGCUGCGGUUUCCGGGCACGCGUCCGCAUGUCCAUUGCCUUAAACGUCGGCGUGCACUUCUCCCCUAGUAGGACGUCGCGACCCGUUGGGUGUCGGUCUACGGCCCGGGCGGUAGCCUGUCUCGUGUUCGCUUCACGGCGUUACGCGGUUCAGACCCCCGGUUGCCCGACCGGCUGCUCGGCGGUACUCGCACGGUAUCUGGUCGCAAAUAUUUAAACUGCGUCCGGCCCGUCGCAAGCGAGGCAAGUGUUUCCCGUCUGUUUAACGGAUCUAAUGCCGGCACCGGGCCUUGCCAGCUGUUGGUUGACGGUGUCCUAGGACAGGCCAAUGCAAUUAUGAUACCGGUCGGCGACGCUACUGCUUUGGGUACUUUCAGGACCCGUCUUGAAACACGGA